RNAcentral lists this transfer RNA (74 nucleotides) under bacterium. RNAcentral describes it as "tRNA-Met". It matches the Rfam family "tRNA". Rfam says of the family: Transfer RNA (tRNA) molecules are approximately 80 nucleotides in length. The record is from RNAcentral. RNAcentral also lists the same sequence under 1 other name.
GUCAGGGUAGCUCAGUCGGUUAGAGCACGGGAUUCAUAACCCCGAGGUGGAGGGUUCGAUUCCCUCCCCUGACA